AAUGCAAUACGCUUCAUAAAGGAAAAUAUAGCAAUUCUCUGUUUCAAAACGCAUCAGCAACAAAGAAGGCAGAGGAGAAAAUAUCGUUGUCAAGCACUUUCCGCCGUCCAGCUGCACAUUGACAUUCUGCAGAAUAAAACGGUCUUAUCUAUGAAUUGGGGUCGUGUGUGUGUUUCUUUUAAAAGAACACGAAGACUUUCCAAUGCUGCACUUUAACUCGUGUUAAACGUCGGUAAUUGCCUGCAAAGGUAGAGAAAGCAGAGAAGUAUAAAAAACAGUGAAUUUCAGACCCACCGCUAAGAAACUGGGGUGGUCAGCAAACAGCUUACCGCAGGAGAGUGUCAACUGCACAAAUAAAUACACGAAGCGACCAUGAUUGAAAUGUCUAAAUGAAACUGAUUAAUGGAGUAAUUGCGUGGAUCGAAUGGCUGUUGGCGACAAGCUGGUGUAUAAAAUAAAACAAAAAAAAAUACCUCGGGUCCCGACGAUGAUGAUGAUGAUGAUGAUGAUAAUGAUGAUCUGCACUGUGCUCGGUGGAAAGGGGAUGGUCUGAAUCCUGGUUCCAUCCACAGAUCCGGGUGGGGGAGUGGGCUUAAGGAAGAGAGUUCCUCGGUGAUAGGUGGCCACGUUUUCUUUGGCUAAUUAGCCUUCGCAGAAAAGUCCGGCGGGUCUUCCUCUGCGCUUCCUUUUCUUAAAGGGCUUUGCUUCGGGGCUGACCACCAGGUGGAGGAUGGAGCAGCGAUAUCUGGGCCACUGAACUCCUGCCAGAAAACCAGAGAGAAAAAAACUUUUUUGUUGUUGCUGGAUGCUCGAGGGAGCGAACAUAAGCAGCCGACGUCUGCAUCUGCACCGCAAAGCAACAGCAAAGGCCUUUCUUUCGGUGUGAAUACGCGCAAGACGCUCACCAAAUAUAUAUAUAGAUAUAUAUCUAUAUAUAUAUAUUAAUACCGAUCUGGAAUUGAAUCGUCCAUGUUUGCUUGGAGCAACACGUCCGAAAAUGAACUGACUGUCUGAAGCCGAUUGAAUAGCACUCUGUGCCUUGAACGUGUCCGUGGAAUAAAUGUCCCACGGUCCAGUUGAGCCAAAUAGAGCGAAGCGUCUAUAAGGGAUCGCUAUAAUAUUUUUUUUUCUUCUUC
Molecule: long non-coding RNA, 1136 nt
Organism: Callorhinchus milii (elephant shark)
Lineage: Eukaryota; Metazoa; Chordata; Chondrichthyes; Chimaeriformes; Callorhinchidae
Exons: 3
Source: RefSeq, a predicted model, not a curated record